GUAUGGGGUAGUACGAGAGGAACUCCCAUGCCGUGCCUCUGGUUUCUGGAGUUUGUCGAACGGUAAGUGCUCCGACGCUAUCGCACGGUGGUUCUCGGCUGAACGCCUCUAAGCCAGAAGAAGCCA
This 126-nucleotide non-coding RNA is filed under the name Trypanosoma theileri. RNAcentral describes it as "Eukaryotic large subunit ribosomal RNA". It matches the Rfam family "Eukaryotic large subunit ribosomal RNA", at positions 3022 to 3144 of the family's 3401-position model. The record is from Rfam by way of RNAcentral. Lineage: Eukaryota; Euglenozoa; Kinetoplastea; Trypanosomatida; Trypanosomatidae.